AAUUGAUACUUGUUAAGAGAUUUAGAUUGUACUCAUUCCAAUUAUUAGAAAUUUUUUAAUUUCCAAUAUUGUUAUUUAUUGUCACUACCUCCCCGUUUUGGGAUUGGGUAAUUUGCGCGCCUGCUGCCUUCCUUGGAAGUAGUAGCCGUUUCUCAGGCUCCUUCUCCGGAAUCAAACCCUGAUUCUCCGUUACCCGUUACCACCAUGGUAGUCCUCUAUACUACCAUCGAAAGUUGAUAGGGCAGAUAUUUGAAUGAACUAUCGUCAGUACAAAAGACUAUACGAUUAGUUUAAUUACUAUGAAUCACCAAUUUUAACUUUUAAUUUUUCAACUAAAAGUAUUGGUUUUGUAUCUAAUAAAUACAACCUUUCCAUUCCUAGUCAGGUUUUUAUGCAUGUAUUAGCUCUAGUUUUACCACGGUUAUCCAAGUGGUAAUUACCAUCAAAUAAAUUAUAACUGAUUUAAUGAGCCAUUCGCAGUUUUGCUGUACAAGUGCUUAUACUUAGACAUGCAUGGCUUAGUCUUUAAGACAAGCAUAUGACUA
RNAcentral lists this ribosomal RNA (545 nucleotides) under uncultured eukaryote. RNAcentral's name for it is "partial 18S ribosomal RNA". The record is from RNAcentral.